GGCAACUGAAUCUCGUUCUCUGAAGCUUCUUCUGGUGGUAGGAUGGCACUAGCUUCCUCUCUUCUGUUAGAAGAUAACGUCAGCUCUUGGCAUCUGCCAGUGAAGGCGCAUCUUAUUUCAGCUCCAUACUAAAUUGGGGAGUUCCAGCUUCUACCUUGGAGCUAACGUCACCAUCGUGCUGCGUUCAGAGGAAAUACAAACCCAAUCCCCAAAGCCUUGACAAGCCACGUUUAUCCUUACUAGAAUCUGUUUAAGGAUUAAGAGGGAAUUGCUCAGCAUAUAAAGCAGCAAAACUUUUCUAAGAAUAAAUGAUUCAUAGCAUGGCCUGAGCUCACUGUGAAAGGCCAAGGUAUAUGGAUCAGUGUUUGUUCAAGAAUAAAGCAGAGUGAAAAGAGAGUCAACUGUCCCCCAAGACACUCAAAUUAGAUGAAAAUCCACAGAAGUGUAAUGAACAGAAGGAACAUUUGGGUGAAAAGAUGGAUGGAUGGAAGGAUGGAUAACUGAAUGAUUGGAUAUAUGAAAUGAAGAUAAAUUAUUUAACACAGAGAAACAGAGACUAAUCAAUGAGACAGAAGCAGAUAUAGAAAUACACAGUGCAUGCUACGUCUCUUCAGUUGUGUCUGACUCUG
This 629-nucleotide long non-coding RNA is filed under the name Capra hircus (goat). RNAcentral describes it as "lncRNA (ENSCHIG00000002148.1)". Lineage: Eukaryota; Metazoa; Chordata; Mammalia; Artiodactyla; Bovidae. The record is from RNAcentral.